Molecule: non-coding RNA, 523 nt
Organism: Pelobates cultripes (western spadefoot toad)
Lineage: Eukaryota; Metazoa; Chordata; Amphibia; Anura; Pelobatidae
Source: the annotation of a GenBank genome assembly
ACCGAAAGCAGUAAGGCAGCUUGGGCCCAGCAACAUCAGCAGCCUGAUCCAGGGCACCCUACCUAAGAUGGCGGACGCCACGUGCGUCGAUAUCGGCAAGACUCACAUACCAUAUGCUGCACCAUGCACCCUGCACCAAGAUGGCGACACACCGCGCCACGACCAGCAAUGAAGACGCCGCACUACAUACGGACAUCCGACCAGCGACAGAGCACCUCUCAGCCCACAAACCGCUCCAGCACAUCGGAGAAGCGUGAGCCCACCCGACACCAUUACUUUGCCGCCUCCUUUCUGGUCGUCUCCCCUGCAGCGAAGGACUCUACAACCCAGCCUCGAAAUGGAGUGGGCUGACAGCCGGCACAGAACGCGCAGAGGCGGGAUGCCACAGGCUACCACCAGAACCCUGCCUGCCCUGAUAAAAUAAUGGAGACAACCACCAGGACUUGGACACUGCCGAUCCCUGACUCACCAGAAUAACUGCAAAUACAGUUGGCUUUAGCUAGAUGUCACCCUGGCCUGUCGG